GACGAACGCUGGCGGCGUGCUUAACACAUGCAAGUCGAACGCUGAAGCACCAGCUUGCUGGUGUGGAUGAGUGGCGAACGGGUGAGUAAUACGUGAGUAACCUGCCCUUGACUCUGGGAUAAGCCCGGGAAACUGGGUCUAAUACUGGAUGCUACAUGUCACCGCAUGGUGGUGUGUGGAAAGGGUUUACUGGUCUUGGUUGGGCUCACGGCCUAUCAGCUUGUUGGUGAGGUAAUGGCUCACCAAGGCGACGACGGGUAGCCGGCCUGAGAGGGUGACCGGCCACACUGGGACUGAGACACGGCCCAGACUCCUACGGGAGGCAGCAGUGGGGAAUAUUGCACAAUGGGCGAAAGCCUGAUGCAGCGACGCCGCGUGAGGGAUGACGGCCUUCGGGUUGUAAACCUCUUUCAGCAGGGAAGAAGCCACAAGUGACAGUACCUGCAGAAGAAGCGCCGGCUAACUACGUG
Molecule: ribosomal RNA, 470 nt
Filed under: uncultured bacterium
Lineage: Bacteria
Description: partial 16S ribosomal RNA
Rfam family: Bacterial small subunit ribosomal RNA
Source: RNAcentral